AUUGAACGCUGGCGGCAGGCCUAACACAUGCAAGUCGAACGGUAACAGGAAACAGCUUGCUGUUUCGCUGACGAGUGGCGGACGGGUGAGUAAUGUCUGGGAAACUGCCUGAUGGAGGGGGAUAACUACUGGAAACGGUAGCUAAUACCGCAUAACGUCGCAAGACCAAAGAGGGGGACCUUCGGGCCUCUUGCCAUCGGAUGUGCCCAGAUGGGAUUAGCUUGUUGGUGGGGUAACGGCUCACCAAGGCGACGAUCCCUAGCUGGUCUGAGAGGAUGACCAGCCACACUGGAACUGAGACACGGUCCAGACUCCUACGGGAGGCAGCAGUGGGGAAUAUUGCACAAUGGGCGCAAGCCUGAUGCAGCCAUGCCGCGUGUAUGAAGAAGGCCUUCGGGUUGUAAAGUACUUUCAGCGGGGAGGAAGGGAGUAAAGUUAAUACCUUUGCUCAUUGACGUUACCCGCAGAAGAAGCACCGGCUAACUCCGUGCCAGCAGCCGCGGUAAUACGGAGGGUGCAAGCGUUAAUCGGAAUUACUGGGCGUAAAGCGCACGCAGGCGGUUUGUUAAGUCAGAUGUGAAAUCCCCGGGCUCAACCUGGGAACUGCAUCUGAUACUGGCAAGCUUGAGUCUCGUAGAGGGGGGUAGAAUUCCAGGUGUAGCGGUGAAAUGCGUAGAGAUCUGGAGGAAUACCGGUGGCGAAGG
This 704-nucleotide ribosomal RNA is filed under the name uncultured Pseudomonadota bacterium. Its description in RNAcentral is "bacterial SSU rRNA". It matches the Rfam family "Bacterial small subunit ribosomal RNA", at positions 28 to 721 of the family's 1533-position model. Lineage: Bacteria; Pseudomonadati; Pseudomonadota. The record is from RNAcentral.